AGUGAACGCUGGCGGUAGGCCUAACACAUGCAAGUCGAACGGCAGCACAGUAAGAGCUUGCUCUUACGGGUGGCGAGUGGCGGACGGGUGAGGAAUACAUCGGAAUCUACUUUUUCGUGGGGGAUAACGUAGGGAAACUUACGCUAAUACCGCAUACGACCUACGGGUGAAAGCAGGGGAUCUUCGGACCUUGCGCGAUUGAAUGAGCCGAUGUCGGAUUAGCUAGUUGGCGGGGUAAAGGCCCACCAAGGCGACGAUCCGUAGCUGGUCUGAGAGGAUGAUCAGCCACACUGGAACUGAGACACGGUCCAGAGGCCUACGGGAGGCAGCAGUGGGGAAUAUUGGACAAUGGGCGCAAGCCUGAUCCAGCCAUACCGCGUGGGUGAAGAAGGCCUUCGGGUUGUAAAGCCCUUUUGUUGGGAAAGAAAAGCAGCAGGUUAAUACCCCGCUGUUCUGACGGUACCCAAAGAAUAAGCACCGGCUAACUUCGUG
This 492-nucleotide ribosomal RNA is filed under the name uncultured bacterium. RNAcentral's name for it is "partial 16S ribosomal RNA". It matches the Rfam family "Bacterial small subunit ribosomal RNA", at positions 29 to 507 of the family's 1533-position model. The record is from RNAcentral.